GGCGUCCUACGGGGCGCAGCAGUGGGGAAUAUUGCACAAUGGGGGAAACCCUGAUGCAGCGACGCCGCGUGAGUGAAGAAGUAUUUCGGUAUGUAAAGCUCUAUCAGCAGGAACGAGACAAGACGGUACCUGACUAAGAAGCCCCGGCUAACUACGUGCCAGCAGCCGUGGUAAUACGUAGGGGGCAAGCGUUAUCCGGAAUCACUGGGUGUAAAGGGAGCGUAGACGGCUGUGCAAGCCUGAAGUGAAAGGCGGGGGCCCAACCCCUGGACUGCUUUGGGAACUGGACGGCUGGAGUACAGGAG
Molecule: ribosomal RNA, 305 nt
Filed under: uncultured bacterium
Lineage: Bacteria
Description: bacterial SSU rRNA
Rfam family: Bacterial small subunit ribosomal RNA
Source: RNAcentral